AUCAGUUCUCACAGGGAGGAUCAGGGAUUUGUGCUCCGUGGUUUUCUCUAACUGCACUGGCUGAGGGAUUUGUGCCCCUUGGUUUUCUUUAACUGCAGCUGAGGACAGGCCUCUGCCAGCACACAGGCAUUUCAAAUAGGAGCAAUAAUUAAAUUAACACAAGUUUAAUCCCUGCCUCCUCCCACUUGAAAUGCCUGAAGUUGUGCCUGGAGGAUUUGAUGCUCUCAUUUCCUGUGUGAAACAGGCUCAGGUCAGAUUGUUGUGCUGGUGUAGGUACAACCUGCAGCUAUCCCUGACCACCUCAGGAACUAAAACUUGCCCCAGAGCUGGAUAAAAAGAUGUUUGGGCACUGCUGUGUGUUGGGAGCUGCCCAAAUGCUCCAACUCCAAGACACUUCAAAAAGACUUCUAAGAGAAGUUGAGCAUUUGGAAGAAAACCAAUCAGAAUUCUUGAAGUUGGCCAAUGAAAUCCAACAGAGGACCAGCCUGGAUCCUUCACCCAAAGCCAAGCUGAGCCUCUGGAGCUCACACCCAGCUGGCACAGCUGCCUCUGCCCAUCUGGGAGGGUCCCUGGCCAUGGUUGUGUGUAAUGUAAAGAAUUGGCAAGCAGCUACCAUCAACUGCAACAAAAAUAUUUGAAACUGCUUUCCUCCUGUGAUGCUUCACUUGCUCUGCAUCCAAUGCAAGCCAAAGAAUGCUGGGCUUGGAAAUGACUUUUCAUGGUGAAUUCAUGUCCAGUUGGAAGUGGCUGUAGGAACUUCUGCUACUGGAAUUGAGGAAAUGCACCUUGGCAUCUAAAGGGAUGAGCAAGAGGUGGUGAGACCUGGAGUGGUUUGGAUGAUGAUUGUGAUCAAAAAAGAACUGUUAUUAUCCAAAAAGUCAUAACUGUACCAGUGCUGGUUUUUGGGGUUUGUUUGUUUGUUUUCUUUCAGGCAUGAAAAUGGAAUGAAUUAGAUUUUCUGUCUCUGUUAUUUUUUGGUUUUGUCAACCAUGUUACACUUUGUAUGGACCAUCAGAGGUAGCUGCAGACUUGCUGUGUGUCAGAGUAGCCUGCUAGAUUGUAAACACUUGUGAGGAAAACAGAAUUGGUGCAGUUAAUUGUUCCAGAAAUGUCUCUGAGAGCUGUUUCUGUUCACACAAGUGCUGUUAUCCUCUUUCACUUGGUGAGAAAGCUGUGCUACCUGCCAUCUCUCCAGAACGGUUUUUGAUCUCUAAAGUUUUUGGUUUCUAAAGAGAAACAGGCUGAACUUGGGGGUAUGGCUGGAAUGGGACAUUUCCCACCACCUUUUAUCUGUUCUGCAGCUGGCCUUGCCCCACCAUGUAAAUGGGAGAAUUUUGUGGUGAACAUUAACUCUGCUUUUGCAGACCUCUGUCAGAAACUUCAGCCUGUGUGUGGACGGGCCAGAAGCACUAAAACAAAAUUUCAGAGCGAACAAGAAGGAUUUCUAUGACUGGAUUUUUGGUCCAUAGCCCAGCAGAACCCUUAAACACAUGUGCAAUCUGAGGGAAGUGUGUAACAUCUUAAGUGAAUUUGUUUCAGCUGUGUUCACGCCUCCAUGUCAAGUACUUCCCAUGAAAAUUGGGACUAUAAAACCCUGCUGGUAUGAAAGUUUUUUCUUCUAUAAAGUUUAAAGUUGUGUGCAGCAGUAUUCCAUAUCCCAAACUAAUAGUUUGCAUGUGCGAACCAAAGUAUUAAAUUCACAGUUUUUGAGCAAAGCCAAUGUUUAUGAUGUGAUUCAUCCAGUGUGUCACUUACCUGCUCAAUCACAAAGCUGCCUCAAAUAUUGUGAAAUUGGGGUCUGUGGGAG
Zonotrichia leucophrys gambelii is the source of this 1807-nucleotide long non-coding RNA. RefSeq lists it as uncharacterized. The record is from RefSeq and is a predicted model, not a curated record. Lineage: Eukaryota; Metazoa; Chordata; Aves; Passeriformes; Passerellidae. The transcript is spliced from 3 exons.